RNAcentral lists this ribosomal RNA (445 nucleotides) under uncultured bacterium. Its description in RNAcentral is "SSU rRNA". It matches the Rfam family "Bacterial small subunit ribosomal RNA", at positions 26 to 518 of the family's 1533-position model. The record is from RNAcentral.
AGAGCGAACGCUGGCGGCAGGCCUAACACAUGCAAGUCGAGCGCCGUAGCAAUACGGAGCGGCAGACGGGAGAGUAACACGUGGGAACGUACCCUUCAGUUCGGAACAACCCAGGGAAACUUGGGCUAAUACCGAAUACGUCCGUAAGGAGAAAGAUUUAUCGCUGAAGGAUCGGCCCGCGUCUGAUUAGCUUGUUGGUGAGGUAAUGGCUCACCAAGGCUACGAUCAGUAGCUGGUCUGAGAGGAUGAUCAGCCUCACUGGGACUGAGACACGGCCCAGACUCCUACGGGAGGCAGCAGUGGGGAAUAUUGGACAAUGGGCGCAAGCCUGAUCCAGCCAUGCCGCGUGGGUGAUGAAGGCCCUAGGGUUGUAAAGCCCUUUCGGCGGGGAAGAUAAUGACGGUACCGCAGAAGAAGCCCCGGCUAACUUCGCGCCAGCAGCCGC